UGGGGAAUAUUGGACAAUGGGCGAAAGCCUGAUCCAGCCAUGCCGCGUGUGUGAAGAAGGUCUUCGGAUUGCAAAGCACUUUAAGUUGGGAGGAAGGGCAGUAAGCGAAUACCUUGCUGUUUUGACGUUACCGACAGAAUAAGCACCGGCUAACUCUGUGCCAGCAGCCGCGGUAAUACAGAGGGUGCAAGCGUUAAUCGGAAUUACUGGGCGUAAAGCGCGCGUAGGUGGUUCGUUAAGUUGAAUGUGAAAGCCCCGGGCUCAACCUGGGAACUGCAUCCAAAACUGGCGAGCUAGAGUAGGGCAGAGGGUGGUGGAAUUUCCUGUGUAGCGGUGAAAUGCGUAGAUAUAGGAAGGAACACCAGUGGCGAAGGCGACCACCUGGGCUCAUACUGACACUGAGGUGCGAAAGCGUGGGGAGCAAACAGG
This 429-nucleotide ribosomal RNA is filed under the name Pseudomonadota bacterium. RNAcentral's name for it is "Proteobacteria bacterium partial 16S ribosomal RNA". It matches the Rfam family "Bacterial small subunit ribosomal RNA", at positions 355 to 776 of the family's 1533-position model. The record is from RNAcentral. Lineage: Bacteria; Pseudomonadati; Pseudomonadota.